Molecule: long non-coding RNA, 1087 nt
Organism: Ictalurus punctatus (channel catfish)
Lineage: Eukaryota; Metazoa; Chordata; Actinopteri; Siluriformes; Ictaluridae
Source: Ensembl
CACAACGGUGCAUAAUAUAAAGAAAGCAUAUUUUGAAUGAGCAUUUUAAGUUAUGGCCUUUUUGUCUUGUCCAAUCAGCACUCAAGACGUUGUAUCACGUGCACUGGCGCAUUACGCUUGAUCUGGCGACUUUUCUGAAACAAACUAGCAACGCACAGAGCACGCCGAGCUGAGGGAAAAAUCAUUUCACACGGAGUUUGUCUGCAUUUAAGAGCCAUUUUUAUCUGCGCCAUAACAGCCCUAUACGGAGCCCUCCUAGUGUCAGCCCGCGGAAGCCAAACAGUGGGAAACGCAAGUCAUCAGCACUUUACAGUAAUGGAGUCAGUAAGGGACCGUCUAAAACGUGCAUGACCUGGGCAACUGUAUAAGAUUCUACUAAGUGUAUAGUCGUCUACUUCACAGGAUAUCUAACUUAUUGCAGUGUUAGGAUACAUUGUGGAUAAAGUAUGUGUUUUUUUUUAUAGCAUAUAUAUUAUUAAUGAUGUACCUUUUUAUUACACGCAUAAACUUAUUGUGCUAUAUAAAACCCAGCAUUAGUCUUAGCAACUAUAGCAAAAUGCUGUUUUUAUUGCUUAAAGAAUUUCUGUAAAUAAAUAGAAAUUAAAUUAAAUUUUUAUCAUACACAGUAUAGUAUACUCCAUUCUUCUUAUCAAUGACAACUCUAUUUUGAAAAUAAUCAAGGGUUUUUUUGUUUAAAGAAGGAAAAAAUAAUUAAAAUGCAAUAACUUUGCUUAUAGGAGUUACACAUGUAAAACCAAAUGUACUAUGAUGCAGAUUAUUAUUGCUAUCAAGUACAGCAAAUAAAAUUUGAAAUCUCAGUUUUUCAUAAUUCCUCUUUUAUUACAAGUUUAAAAUAAAAACUAUAUUUUUAUGAUUUUUUUUAUUUUGCAAAAGAGAAAAAUAAUAAAAAUGCAAUAACUUUGACUGGCUUGCCACCUUGCCUCAGUCACGAUAUUUUUGAAGGUGUGUUGUCUUAUGAUGUUGCUCUUUACAAAGUACUUUGUUAAGAAGAAGUGGUUCACUUACUCAAUUCAUAACCGUCUAAUCAGGCAGUUCAAAUAUAAUGGCUCUGAUGCAUUCACAAAAC